GAAAUGCGAUAAGUAAUGUGAAUUGCAGAAUUCAGUGAAUCAUCGAAUCUUUGAACGCACAUUGCGCCCGCCAGCACUCUGGCGGGCAUGCCUGUUCGAGCGUCAUUUCAACCCUCAGAACCCCUUGCGGGAUCUGGCGUUGGGGAUUGGCUUCCAGCCAGCCCCGAAAUCUAGUGGCGGUCCCUCCGCGACCUCCCCUGUGCAGUAGCGAUACCUCGCAGCGGGACAGCGGUCUGACCACGCCGUAAAACCCCCAACUUCUCAAGGUUGACCUCGAAUCAGGUAGGAAUACCCGCUGAACUUAAGC
This 307-nucleotide unclassified non-coding RNA is filed under the name plant metagenome. RNAcentral's name for it is "partial contains 5.8S ribosomal RNA, internal transcribed spacer 2, and large subunit ribosomal RNA". The stretch from base 1 to 105 matches the Rfam family "5.8S ribosomal RNA", at positions 50 to 154 of the family's 154-position model. The record is from RNAcentral.